AGCGUAUAUUAAAGUUGUUGCAGUUAAAAAGCUCGUAGUUGAAUUUCGGGGUUAGUAGGUUGGUCAUGCCUCUGGUAUGUACUGGUCUCACUGAUUCCUCCUUCCUGAUGAGCCGUAAUGCCAUUAAUUUGGUGUUGCGGGGAAUUUGGACUGUUACUUUGAAAAAAUUAGAGUGUUUAAAGCAAGCUAACGCUUGAAUACAUUAGCAUGGAAUAAUGAAGUAGGACGUUCGAUCCUAUUUUGUUGGUUUCUAGGAUUGACGUAAUGAUUAAUAGGGAUAGUUGGGGGCAUUAGUAUUCAAUUGUCAGAGGUGAAAUUCUUGGAUUUAUUGAAGUCUAACUACUGCGAAAGCAUUUGCCAAGGAUGUUUUCAUUAAUCAAGAACGAAAGUUAGGGGAUCGAAGACGAUCAGAUACCGUCGUAGUCUUAACCAUAAACUAUGCCGACUAGGGAUCGGAUGAUGUUAAUUUUUUAAUGACUCAUUC
RNAcentral lists this ribosomal RNA (484 nucleotides) under uncultured Glomeromycotina. RNAcentral describes it as "SSU rRNA". It matches the Rfam family "Eukaryotic small subunit ribosomal RNA", at positions 596 to 1081 of the family's 1831-position model. The record is from RNAcentral. Lineage: Eukaryota; Fungi; Glomeromycota.